Long non-coding RNA from Mirounga angustirostris (Northern elephant seal), 784 nucleotides. RefSeq lists it as uncharacterized. The transcript has 3 exons. The record is from RefSeq and is a predicted model, not a curated record. NCBI's taxonomy places the organism in Eukaryota, Metazoa, Chordata, Mammalia, Carnivora, Phocidae.
UCUUAACCAUUUUUAAGUGUACAGUUCAGUAGUUUUAAGUAAACUCAUAUUGUGCAACAGGUCUUUAGAACUUUUUUGUUUUGCAAAACUGAAACUCUAUGCUCAUUGAACACCAUCUCCCCCCACCCUCCAUUUUAUGGGUGAAGUAAUAAUCUGUAAACAAAUAUUUUAGCGGAAUUGCUACAAUGGCAAGAAGUCCUGCUUUUGUAAAAUGAAGGAUUUGCUGAUGUACAUGUGUUUCUUUUUUCUCAUCUAGAUGAAGUUCCUUCAAGUCAUGGACUCCAUAUUGCCAUUGUGUUGCAUCUCAACAGUUAGCAUCUUGGACGGUGUGGACACUGACCAUGGAGAUCACUUGUGCAAGGAUGGGAAAGAUUAGGGAGGUAGGUCAUAGAAAGGAGUAAAGUCGACGAGAUGGACUUCCUGGAUACCAUAUCCUUCCUGCGUUCAUUUUCCUACUUUGGACAGAGACACGGAUACAAGGAAGCUGAUGUGGCGUUGCACACUCUGGAUCUGAUGCUCCAGGGACACGGUAUCCAUGGCAACCCAGGCCUGGGCCCCGCCUGGGGGGAAGAUGAUAAGCCAAUCCAUCUGCAAAUCCAGUUGUCUCUACCUUUGAAAACGUGUAUGCUGGGUGCCUGGGUGGCUCAGUCGUUAAGUGUCUGCCUUCGGCUCAGGUCAUGAUCCCAGGAUCCUGGGAUCGAGUCCCACAUCGGGCUCCCUGCUCGGCGGGAAGCCUGCUUCUCCCUCCCCCACUCCCCCUGCUUAUGUUCCCUCUCUCGCUCUG